RNAcentral lists this ribosomal RNA (305 nucleotides) under uncultured bacterium. RNAcentral's name for it is "partial 16S ribosomal RNA". It matches the Rfam family "Bacterial small subunit ribosomal RNA", at positions 508 to 807 of the family's 1533-position model. The record is from RNAcentral.
ACAGCAGUAGCCGCGGGAAUACGAAGGGGGCUAGCGUUGUUCGGAAUUACUGGGCGUAAAGCGCACGUAGGCGGAUAUUUAAGUCAGGGGUGAAAUCCCAGAGCUCAACUCUGGAACUGCCUUUGAUACUGGGUAUCUUGAGUAUGGAAGAGGUGAGUGGAAUUCCGAGUGUAGAGGUGAAAUUCGUAGAUAUUCGGAGGAACACCAGUGGCGAAGGCGGCUCACUGGUCCAUUACUGACGCUGAGGUGCGAAAGCGUGGGGAGCAAACAGGAUUAGAUACCCCGGUAGUCCCUGUCUCUUAUAC